RNAcentral lists this ribosomal RNA (267 nucleotides) under Listeria monocytogenes. RNAcentral's name for it is "partial 16S ribosomal RNA". It matches the Rfam family "Bacterial small subunit ribosomal RNA", at positions 1 to 253 of the family's 1533-position model. Lineage: Bacteria; Bacillati; Bacillota; Bacilli; Caryophanales; Listeriaceae. The record is from RNAcentral.
UAUUUUAAAGAGAGUUUGAUCCUGGCUCAGGACGAACGCUGGCGGCGUGCCUAAUACAUGCAAGUCGAACGAACGGAGGAAGAGCUUGCUCUUCCAAUGUUAGUGGCGGACGGGUGAGUAACACGUGGGCAACCUGCCUGUAAGUUGGGGAUAACUCCGGGAAACCGGGGCUAAUACCGAAUGAUAAGAUGUGGCGCAUGCCACGCCUUUGAAAGAUGGUUUCGGCUAUCGCUUACAGAUGGGCCCGCGGUGCAUUAGCUAGUUGGU